This 731-nucleotide ribosomal RNA is filed under the name Pseudomonas sp. CB 286447. Its description in RNAcentral is "bacterial SSU rRNA". It matches the Rfam family "Bacterial small subunit ribosomal RNA", at positions 100 to 828 of the family's 1533-position model. The record is from RNAcentral. Lineage: Bacteria; Pseudomonadati; Pseudomonadota; Gammaproteobacteria; Pseudomonadales; Pseudomonadaceae.
GACGGGUGAGUAAUGCCUAGGAAUCUGCCUGGUAGUGGGGGAUAACGUUCGGAAACGGACGCUAAUACCGCAUACGUCCUACGGGAGAAAGCAGGGGACCUUCGGGCCUUGCGCUAUCAGAUGAGCCUAGGUCGGAUUAGCUAGUUGGUGAGGUAAUGGCUCACCAAGGCGACGAUCCGUAACUGGUCUGAGAGGAUGAUCAGUCACACUGGAACUGAGACACGGUCCAGACUCCUACGGGAGGCAGCAGUGGGGAAUAUUGGACAAUGGGCGAAAGCCUGAUCCAGCCAUGCCGCGUGUGUGAAGAAGGUCUUCGGAUUGUAAAGCACUUUAAGUUGGGAGGAAGGGUUGUAGAUUAAUACUCUGCAAUUUUGACGUUACCGACAGAAUAAGCACCGGCUAACUCUGUGCCAGCAGCCGCGGUAAUACAGAGGGUGCAAGCGUUAAUCGGAAUUACUGGGCGUAAAGCGCGCGUAGGUGGUUUGUUAAGUUGGAUGUGAAAUCCCCGGGCUCAACCUGGGAACUGCAUUCAAAACUGACUGACUAGAGUAUGGUAGAGGGUGGUGGAAUUUCCUGUGUAGCGGUGAAAUGCGUAGAUAUAGGAAGGAACACCAGUGGCGAAGGCGACCACCUGGACUAAUACUGACACUGAGGUGCGAAAGCGUGGGGAGCAAACAGGAUUAGAUACCCUGGUAGUCCACGCCGUAAACGAUGUCAACUAGCCGUUGGAA